GGGGAAUCGUAGCGCGGGACUUUGGGCCAACCUCCCAUCCGUGUCUAUUGUACCCUGUUGCUUCGGCGGGCCCGCCGCUUGUCGGCCGCCGGGGGGGCGCCUCUGCCCCCCGGGCCCGUGCCCGCCGGAGACCCCAACACGAACACUGUCUGAAAGCGUGCAGUCUGAGUUGAUUGAAUGCAAUCAGUUAAAACUUUCAACAAUGGAUCUCUUGGUUCCGGCAUCGAUGAAGAACGCAGCGAAAUGCGAUAACUAAUGUGAAUUGCAGAAUUCAGUGAAUCAUCGAGUCUUUGAACGCACAUUGCGCCCCCUGGUAUUCCGGGGGGCAUGCCUGUCCGAGCGUCAUUGCUGCCCUCAAGCCCGGCUUGUGUGUUGGGUCGCCGUCCCCCUCUCCGGGGGGACGGGCCCGAAAGGCAGCGGCGGCACCGCGUCCGAUCCUCGAGCGUAUGGGGCUUUGUCACAUGCUCUGUAGGAUUGGCCGGCGCCUGCCGACGUUUUCCAACCAUUCUUUCCAGGUUGACCUCGGAUCAGGUAGGGAUACCCGCUGAACUUAAGCAAUAAAACCCCGGGAAAAAAAAAGAAGAGUCAAC
Molecule: unclassified non-coding RNA, 590 nt
Filed under: Aspergillus niger
Lineage: Eukaryota; Fungi; Ascomycota; Eurotiomycetes; Eurotiales; Aspergillaceae
Description: sequence contains ITS1, 5.8S rRNA gene and ITS2
Rfam family: 5.8S ribosomal RNA (bases 192-345)
Source: RNAcentral